AGCGGGCCGAAGAAUUCGUCCGUCGCAAAGAGCGCCCGGGCGCCAAGGCCUGCGGAAGCGAGGUUGAUUGUCCCGCCCGCAAAGCCGGGCAGGACUUCGCCGGCACGCGUCA
RNAcentral lists this small RNA (112 nucleotides) under Sinorhizobium meliloti 2011. Its description in RNAcentral is "putative ncRNA". The record is from RNAcentral. Lineage: Bacteria; Pseudomonadati; Pseudomonadota; Alphaproteobacteria; Hyphomicrobiales; Rhizobiaceae.